Long non-coding RNA from Carassius gibelio (silver crucian carp), 746 nucleotides. RefSeq lists it as uncharacterized. The transcript has 5 exons. NCBI's taxonomy places the organism in Eukaryota, Metazoa, Chordata, Actinopteri, Cypriniformes, Cyprinidae. The record is from RefSeq and is a predicted model, not a curated record.
GUGUGUGUGUGUGUUUACCAUUGCUGCUGCUGUAGGUGAUGUUGUGUGUGUGUGUGUGUGUGUGUGGUUAUCGUUGCUGCUGCUGUAGGUGAUGUUGUGUGUGUGUGUGUGUGUGUGUGUGUGGUUAUCGUUGCUGCUGCUGUAGGUGAUGUUGUGUGUGUGUGUGUGUGUGUGUGUGGUUACCGUUGCUGCUGCUGUAGGUGAUGUUGUGUGUGUGUGUGUGUGUGUGUGUGUUUACCGUUGCUGCUGCUGUAGGUGAUGUUGUGUGUGUGUGUGUGUGUGUUUACCGUUGCUGCUGCUGUAGGUGAUGUUGUGUGUGUGUGUGUGUGGUUACCGUUGCUGCUGCUGUAGGUGAUGUUGUGUGUGUGUGUGUGUGUGUUUACCGUUGCUGCUGCUGUAGGUGAUGUUGUGUGUGUGUGUGUGUGUGUGUUUACCGUUGCUGCUGCUGUAGGUGAUGUUGUGUGUGUGUGUGUGUGUGUUUACCGUUGCUGCUGCUGUAGGUGAUGUUGUGUGUGUGUGUGUGUGUGUGUUUACCGUUGCUGCUGCUGUAGGUGAUGUUGUGUGUGUGUGUGUGUGUGUGUGUGUUUACCGUUGCUGCUGCUGUAGGUGAUGUUGUGUGUGUGUGUGUGUGUGUUUACCGUUGCUGCUGCUGUAGGUGAUGUUGUGUGUGUGUGUGUGUGGUUACCGUUGCUGCUGCUGUAGGUGAUGUUGUGUGUGUGUGUGUGUGUGUGUGUGUGUGUGUGUUU